Molecule: long non-coding RNA, 9666 nt
Filed under: Zostera marina
Lineage: Eukaryota; Viridiplantae; Streptophyta; Magnoliopsida; Alismatales; Zosteraceae
Description: long non-coding RNA (ZMAR_LNC005136)
Source: RNAcentral
CUUCUUUCUCUUUCACAUCCUCCCUCAAAUCUGGCUGGAUGGAAUUUGCUAGAUUUGAUUGUAUAGGCUCCGAUGGUCGGACUGGGACAAGCUUGUGACGUUGCCGGUGCUGGACAAAUCCUUCAAUGCUCAAUGUUUUGGUAAAUCUAUCUACAAAUUACAUAGUUGUAGGCACAUAUUCUAUCUGUUCCUCUUUUAAUUAGUUCUCAUACACCUAAGGUAUCAAUGAAUUAAUUCCACAAAUUUAAAUGGAUCAAAAGGACCUGAAGGGACCCUUUGUCUCCGAUCUAAGAUCGGAAUUCGAUCUAGAUAGUAGAGACUAAGAGCUGUGGAAUUAAUUCCUUGUGAAAAUUUGUUUGAAGCAGGGGCAAUCUGGAGCAGGGUCGACUGGAACGAUCUUGAGGAGGCUUCCUGGAUGAAAUUGAAGGUGUCCGGAGACUCGGAGGGAGGUGCUAGGAGGAUGAUGGCGGUAUGGGAUCUGAUUGUAGAGCGAGGCGAGCUGUGGGGUUUGCCGGAGGGUCUGAUCGGAAAUGGGGAAUGAAAGGUUGAACGUCGGGAUUGUGAGAGGGAGAUGAAUGGGAAAAUUAUAGUUUUAUUUCAUUAAUUGUAAAUCAAGUACAUCGGGGCCCUUUAUAGAGAUACAAAGGGGUGCAUUAAUUAAAUUGUAACAACUAAUUAAUGAGUGUACUACACUUUUACAAUUUAUGAUAAUAAUAAAAAUUAAAGACUGAUUAAACUAAUUACCCUUUACCUUUAUUACCUGCUAAUUGGAUCUUCCCCCGUUUCUUUAAACGGUAUAAUCCGUAACCCAUUUAGAGGGUUUCUUGGUUCUGACGGAUCUCCUUGAUUUCUCGCCGGUGCCCUCUUCCCAACCUUUGACUUUCGUCGGAUUCUGCUGCUCGUCCCUCGCCGGAUUCUUCAUUCAGGUCAGUGAUUCUCUCCAAGUCGCGUAUGAUGCUUCUUGUGUCAAGUAACUAAUUUCUAUGUGUCUAGAUCGUGAAGUAAUUGUUGGAUUCUUUGCCAUGAAUAUUAUUGAUCUUCUGUCACAUAGUAAUGUUGGGGGUGAACUCAAUUUUAGUCUCAACUCUCUAAAUAGAUAGCAAAACCAUCUGACUUCUGAUGUAAUAUGGGUCAUGACCUUAAAUUCUGUCUCUGAGCUUGAAUUUGAUAUUGCUGGUUGUUUUUUAGUUGACCAGGAAAGUAAAUUAUUUCCAUACCAUAUGCUUGAUCUUGUAAUUGACCUCCUAUCUGAUGAGCCUCCCCAGUCUGAAUCAGUAUAGGCCACUAAGUUCAUCACCUCUUAUGUUCCUUUAGUUAUUCUCAGACCUAAAUUAGAAGUCCCUUGUAAAUAUCUUAAAAUUCUUCUUAUUGCCAUCAAGUGACCUUAAUUUGGGAUUUUGUAGGAAUUGACAUACUUGAUUAAUUAUGAAUGACAGAUCAGAUCAGGUGAGGGAUAGAUAUUAUAGACUCCUCUUCAUGCUUCUAUAGGUUGUGAUGUCCUCCAAAAGGUUUCCCAUAUCUUGGUGUAGUUUUGUGGAUUGAGUAAUAGGUGUUUUAACUGGAUUUUCUUGUUCAUAUCCAUAUCUUUUAAGAACAUCUUUUAUAUAUUUUUCCUGUGAUAAUAUUAUAUUAUCUCCCUAGUCUGAGAUACCAGGCCUUAGGAGUUUGUUUUAACUCAUAUAAAGUCUGUUGUAAUAGACAUAAAUCUUCAUAUCAUCAUUUUGGUUGUCAUCAUUUUCAUUUUUUUCACCCUCUCCAAUAUCAGAUAGCUCCAUGUUCUCAGAGAAGGCAUGUUCAGAUUCAUUAUGUUCAUGGGAUUGAUCUUGUGAAUAUAGAUUUGGAGUGGUGUUCUCUUUUAGUGGGAAUACCUUCUCAUAGUAGGUUACAUCUCUACUGAUGAAGAUAAGUUUAUGUUCUAAGUCAUAGAGAACAACUCCCUUUUGGUUUGGAGAAUCUCCUAAGUAUAUGCACUUCCUUGUUUUGGGGGAGAAUUUAUCCUCCUUUACCAAGAAAGUAGCAUAACAAAGACAACCAAAAGUUCUUAGCUUCUCAAAUGUUGAUGUCUUUGAGUGUAUGAGCUCAUAGGGGUUUUUUUUUUUAGUCACCUUGGAGGGUAAUAUGUUAAUAAUCUUGAGAGUUGGGGGAGAACCCGAUUUUAGAUUUAGAUUAAAUGAAAAAGUUGUUUAAAACUAUUACAAGAGUGCUUGCUAUUUAUACUAUUGACCUAAAUUAUAUUAUGUGGGCCUUAAGUUAUGGGUCUCAUCUAAAUAAACAAUUAAAGAGAUAAUGAGAGAUAGUAAAAGAAAAUUAGAAGAACUUCAAUAUGAUCAUUGCUUCUAAGUUCUUUGUAUUAAGACUCAAUAGAGUCAGUUAUAAUUCACUUAAAGUCUAAAGACUAUUUCUAUAAAGAUUACUUGUGUUAGUUAGUAGUUAUAUAAAAUUAGUAUAAUAAUACUUAUAUAUAUGAAAACUGUAAGUUGAGAUUGUAGUUUUUUUUGAUAAGAUACAAUAUACUCGUUCAAUGUGUAUUUUCUUAAAAGGUUUAAUACGUGAGAUUAUGAAUUUCAACAUGGUAUACAGAGCUACAUGACAUGCGUCACGUCUUGACUGGGCAAUACAAGUUCCCCCCUUCUUCCCCUAAAGCGAUUUGAGGACAGUAGACGGUCUCCGUCUGCAUCAUUUUAGGGCUUCUGAUAUUAGGGCUCGCUUGAUCUGGUUGUGCGUUUACUAAAGGCGUUUGGUUGAUCCGAUAUUGGAGAUCGUUCGGUUGAAGGUUGGACUGAUUUCUUGCGACAUUCAGUUAGGUUUUUUAUUAUUUUCUUUUCCUUUUCUUUAAAUUGAAUUGUUUAGAUUCUGUUUUGCAUUGUGAUCAAAUUAGUUUUCACUUUUCCUUCCCAAUUUCUUCUUUUCAUUUUCCAGAACCUUGAUUGGGGUUCUCUUCUUGGAAAAUUUUCUUUUCCCCAAAUUCUUCUCUCACACGAUUCUGAAUUGUUCUUCCUCAAUUCAGUUCCCAAACUUUUCUUCAUUUUCUCAGCAAUGGAGACACUCUCAAUUGGCAAUAUUUAGAGUGUAAAAACUGUAAAAUUAGGCAAACAAAACUAUGCAAUAUGGCGCCAACAAGUAGCAAUGAUUCUCAGAGACAGCAAGCUACUUGGUUUCGUAGAUGGAUCAUUCAAGGCACCAUCAUCCGUUCCAAACAGUAAAUGGGAGUUUUUAAAAAAUGAACAAGGUCUAAUUUAUGAAGAUUGGAUACAACAAGAUAGUUUGUUGAUGGGCUGGCUUAUGACUUCUAUGACUGAAGAAGUUCUGCCCAAGGUUUGUGUCUGCACCACUUCAGCAGAAAUGUGGUCCACACUUGCAAAAGUUUUUGCAUCUAAUUCUCAAGUAAGGACCUUGCAACUCAGGCUCACCUUACAGACUACAAAAAAAGGAGAUAAGUCCAUGGAAGAUUUUAUUUCUCAGAUGGUUCAGAUAGCCAAUUCUCUGGCUCUAACAAGAGACAAGGUUAAAGAUAAAGAUCUGACACUUUUCAUUCUAGGAGGUCUUGGGACUGAAUAUGAUGGUUUAUUCACAGUCAUCACCACAAGACCAGGCAAUGAAGCACUCUCUGUUGAUGAGAUUCAAGGGUUGCUUCUGAAUCAUGAAAUAAGAAUGGCAAAAAAUGUUGCACCUUCCUUAGAAAAUUCACUUUCAGUGAAUUAUAUCAACAAACAGAGGUACAACUCUAAUUCCAACAAUUCUUAUCAUUCUAAUAAGAAUCAUUCUAGUGUGCAGAAACAGAACCAAAAGCUCACUCUCUACAGUUUCUUAUUAUGCCAAAUCUGUGAGAAGAGAUGCCAUAUUGCCUCAAACUGCUACAACAUAUUUAAUAAAAGUUUCAAUAACAAUCAAAAGCAAGUGAAUCUGGUGUUUGAAGAGGAAGAGGAACAAAAGGAAAACUCCAGCUUAUGACAUCCAGAUUCUGAGGCUAGUACACACAUAACUUCAUAUUUUAGCGACUUAAACUUUGCAUCUCCUUAUGAAGGAGCAGAUAGGGUUCAAACAGCCAAUGGAUCUGGUAUGAAAAUACUUGACAUUGAAUCUUCUAAUUUUAAAUGUGGAGAUAGGAUUUUACACAUAAAAGACUCAUUACAUAUCCCUUCUACAUCUAAAAACCUAUUGUCUGUUCAUAGAUUUUGUAAAGACAAUAAUGUAUGCUUUGAAUUUGAUGUGUCUAAGGUUGUGGUGAAGGAUAAGAGCACACAAAAAGUGUUGAUGCAAGGAAGAGCGAGCAAUGGAUUGUAUACUUUUCCUAUGCAACCAACAAAGACGUCAUCUCCUCAUCAUGCAUUUAUUUGUGAGAAAGCUUCACUAAAUAAGUGGCACUCUAGAUUUGGCCAUGUAAAUGAAAUUACUAUUAGAAAAAUCUGUAAAAACAAUGACUUACCUAUUGUAAACAAUAAAUUUGAAGAUUGUGUUCCAUGUGCUAUGAGUAAAUGUCAUAAGUUACCGUUCUCUACAGUAAAUUACUCACUAACAAGACCCUUAGAAUUGAUAUUUAGUGAUGUUUGGGGACCUUCAUCCCACACAUCUCCACAAGGGUUUAUGUUGAUGUUUUUAGUAAAUUCACAUGGAUUUUUCCAAUACAAACAAAAUCAGAAGUGUUCAAUAAAUUCAAAGAGUUUAAGCAAAACAUUGAAAAUCAACUAGACCUUAAAAUUAAGGCAAUCCAAAAUGACAAUGGCGGUGAGUUUAAAAGUCUGAUUUUUAAAGAUUUUCUGAAAAAUCAUGAAAUUAAUCAUAGAUUUGCAUGUCCAUAUACCCAUGAGAAAAUUAGAAGAACUUCAAUAUGAUCAUUGCUUCUAAGUUCUUUGUUCGCCACUUUCAUCAUGUGGCUUUUUCUCUAAUUUUUUAAUUCUAUUGGUCCUUAUUAUGUUUGCAUACACAUGGUUUUUUACUUACUCUAAUCUUCAUCUCUUGGAGACACUUGCGAGUGGAUAUGUUACUCAAAUAUUCAGUUCGAUUGGUUUAAUCAAACGAUCCUUGGUUUAAAAGUUAAGAUAAACAAAUCGAAUCGAAUACUUGAUGUUCCGUUCUUUUUACCAUUUAAAUAUGUAAUUUAUGAUGUAGCAAAGAAAAGGGAGAAUGCAGUUCCAUGUGGUUUCCCAACUGAUAGAAUCAGAUAAUGAUAACAAACAUGAUUAACAUUACAUCCCAACUGCUUUCUUCAAAACUGAAGAAGAUGAAGGUGGUUUCAAUGCUUUUCUAAUCUUAAAUAUGUUCCAUGUAGUUCCUACUAUAUGCCCAGUCGUCGCAAAUACAUCCUCGGUUGCUUGCCCUGCAUUUUCGCCAAAUCUACAAUACACAAACCAAAAUGCUUUAGACGGACAGCAAUAUUAACAUAUUUCUUAUAUAUCCGCCAAGUUUGAAGUCAUCCAACAAACAGGUAUUGUCGAACAAAACAUACACAUCUGCUCUUACCAAUGAUCGGAGUUUAUAAGCAUUCUAAUUCAUAACAAUUUUUACUUUACCUCUUUGAAGCUACUUCUGCCAUUGUACUUCCAGUGGAAGCGAUGGUUCUUCUCUCGGCAGCCUCUAUUGCAUCCAAAAGUUUGUCUGUCAGUGUUAAAUAAGUUACAUCAAGAAUUCUAGCAUUGACGGCGCAAUAAUGUUGGUACAUCAGGUGAAUUUUGGUAUGUCGCUUUAAGGUUGUUUUAUCUUUUUAGAAACUAUUUAUAAGGAUGAUAGCUAGGGCUAGUUAUGGAUAGUACUUACUAACAACAUCUAGUGAAGUCACUACAACAUUCAUAGGAAAUGAUCCCAAGAUCGCCUUCCCGGUCUUCGAUUUGGCUACUGAUGCACUUGCUAUGUCUGUGACUACAAUUACACCAUUGAGCAAAGAUUUGCUCAUCUUCUCAGUCAUUCCAGAAAAUUGUCUCACCCUAAAAAUAUUGAUCAUCAAGAUCAAGUUUAAUAUGUGCGCGUUAAUAUGGUCAUCAACCAAACUCGACCUAAUAUAUUAUCAGUCAUCACUAUGGAAAUAUAUGUAAAAAUUCCCUUAAACCCUAAUUAGGAUUUAUAAAUGAAUUAAUAUAAUCACCUUUUUAAGCUUUUGUUGAGUAUGUUGCCAUUUUUUCCAUCCUUGUAAUUCUUUGUAACACUAUUAUCCCUACCAACGUCGCUUUUAGGUUGAAUCAACUUUGCACCUUUCAUUAACUGGUUCGAAUAUACAUCACUACAUGCAAAGAUCCCCUUCACCACUUGACCCGUUCCACCAUCGACGGCCUUUUGGAGAACCUUGUUAUAGUCUCCAAUCCUCGUAACAUACUUGGCCCAAUCUCCGGUAUUCUUAGGCUUGGAACGAUCGAUUGCGGUGGCGAUCGAAAAACAAGAAUUCUCCUUGAGAAAUUUAUCCAAACAUCCAUCAUCGUGAACUGAGUGAUGGAUUGACACACCAUAGUUCAAGAAGCUUCCACCGUCUUUAUCAGGAAGAGAGAAAAUAUAGCUGAGUUCAUCAACUUUAACGACAGGCUCGUCCCUUGUCAAUGGCCACUGGACAUCGGUACCGACUUUGAUGAUGGUGGCCAGAACAAGAUCUUCAUCAAUCACCCUAAGUAUAGAAAGAUCUCCUUCAUCCAACUUAACGUACUGCUCUGGUUCUUCAAGCAGAAGAUGAACUGAAACGCCUGGGAUUUUUAGAAUGGUUUCCUCCUUGCGUGUAGUGGCUACGGCUGUAGUAGGCACUGGUGGUUUUAGAGGCGAUGAGGUACUCCUUGAGCUUGGUCUGCAGCAACCCAUCUUUGGUGGAGAUGAUGAUAAGAAAAUGCCUGUAUUCCUUUUUAUUGUGAACAAAAAGAAAGAGAAUGUAUUCUUUUGAAUGUGCUCAAAGUUGGCCACUUUAUUCCUUUCUUUGGAUCGAUGGACAAAGAAAGUAAUUAAAUUUAAUAAACCAUGAAUACAAACACCAGACAUCUCAAUCAUGUAUUCAUGUGUUGUUGUUUCCAACUAAAUGAUAAAGAAGAACACCUGUUGCAACACUUACAUUUAAGCUUUCCACGGCCAGGAAUGAUUUCAAUCCUUCUUCUCCUCCUCUUCCACCACCAGCAGCAGCAACAUCAACAUCAUCACCACUUCCAAUCUCUUCAUUUUCCCUGAUGGCAUUAACGAAUGCUGAAGGUUUUCCAGGGAUUUUAAUAAGAUGAGUGCAGCUUCUUUCCACUAAAGGUCGCAACCCACUACCUUCGCUGCCCAACACAAGAAUUGUCGGAGUGUCAGAAUGAACUUCAUUCAAAGGAACAGCACUGAUAGAAACAGAUCCUCCGAGAACUCUCCAUCCAUUUUCUACUGAUGAUGUCAGGAACUGCAUCAUGUUCUUGCAUGAUCUCAACUCCAGUAAUUCAAGAGCCCCUGCACUUGCUUUGCUAACAACCCCACUCAAUGGAGCUGAGUUUUUAGCACAUAGAAUCACACCUUCUACACCAAAGAAAUAGGAUGAACGUAGUAUCGCUCCAAGAUUCUGUGGAUCAGUCACCUCAUCCAAUGCAACCCAAACCGGGGACUUCUUGCUGUUUUCGAUGGAUGAUAAUGGAUCUAGUUCUUUGAUACUUACCAUUUCUAAUGGAGAAGCGUCUAGAACCAAACCUUGAUGUGGACGGUUGUCUACAAUCAUAUUGAGGUCAUGCUUUGAUGUUUGUUUUAUGCUUAACCCUAAUUUUUCAGCCAUUUUGAAUAUGUUCUCCACGCCCUUCUUGUCUUUCUUUUUCUUCUUCUUAUUGUUACCAUUCAAAUCCAUUCCUUCUUGAACAUAGAGAGCAUAGAAGUCCCUUCUACCAAUUGUCAAUGCUGCUAGAAUUGGACCGACACCGUAAACAUUCUCACCGACCAUUUUCGGUAUUGAGGAUUCUGAAGCCUCUCGCCAUGUUUUCCGACCCCAACUCUCCUGUUUCUUCCACUGGGAAACCUCAGGCCUCUCGUGCCGAGCUUCUCUACUGCCAAUUCUACUGUAAUCCCUCUUUAUUGUAUCCCAUCUGCGAUCAUCAACAGGUUCAGCACCAUCCUCUUCUUCACUAUGAGAUUCAGACCUUCGUACUAUAUAAGUUCCAACAGAAUGCUGCCUCCUUCCACUCUCAAAACUCACAUUACUGCUCUUAUCUUCAACCACAUCACCGCUCUGACUUUUGGAAAAAUACUUGCUUGCAGAUUCUUCCCAUGGCGAUUUACUCUCCUUCUCUGGGAUCUUACCAUAGAUCUUCUUCACCUUCUUUGCACUGUUAGGUGCUGCUGAUGCUAUCCAGGGCAAUCUUUUCCCAGCGACUUCACCGUAGUCCUUUCCUCUACUUCUUCGGUAAUGAUCCGUUGAAAAUCCUCGGAUGGUUCGCACUCCAAUUAAAUGAUUCUCAAUACCCAAUGUUCUUCCUCCAGGAACGCAAACGAAGGUCUUCAUAGAAAGAAAGGUAGAGAAAUACCUAAAAUUGUGUUUCAGACCGAUUUGACAAGACCCAUCGGAGAAAGAUCGCAAAAUCGGAAUCCCAGGGCUCUUGGCAACCGAACAGUACAUUGCAGAAACGCCGAGAGGGAGUGUGUAUUAGUAGUGUUCGAGAGAGGUUUUCUUUUCUAGGGCCGACGGCAGAACAAUAGUUCAAUACCUUGGGUUUUUUAUUAAUAACUCCUCGUAUUAUUCUCAUAUUUGUAUACAGUAUUCAGAUAGAUGACUUGACCUUUAACUGUUGACGAGUCAACCAUCGAUGUCUCAUUUGAGAAUUGCCCAAAAGAACAAACAGCUCCCUGUGUUCCUUCUUCAAGAACAUAUCAAGUGCGAACAUAUAAGGAUCACUUCCUUGCAGAAUUUCUGGUAUCUCAUCCAACAGCUCAAUGCAAUGCUUCAUUGUGUAUUCUUCCUUUGGAACAGCCACAGAAGCCGCUACCUCCACCAUUUUGUUUCGUGAUUCGAUUGCCUUGCAUAGUCGAACCAGCUUAGUGUUAAGCCUAGCAGAUUGCACGUCUUGUUUGUUUGGUGUAAAUGAGCUAUGACCUGAUGAGUGGCUUAUCUUCCUUCGUCGAGAUGGAGGCUCAGCACUGAGCCCGUCAUGAGGAAAUGGUGAUUCCUCAAUCUGAAUUCGAGUAUCACAAGUCAACGUGCCAUUCCCUUCGAGGUUAUUAAUCUGAGCAGAAGGUGCUCGAGAGGAACCCAUAUCGACAUUUUGACUGGUGGCAGUAAGCAAUGGCGAGUUUCCACCGGCACAAGUCGUUGCUUCACUUGUUGCAAUGUUUGAGAACAAAGUGUCUAGAGAGUCUACUAAUGUAAGGCCCUUGAAACGAAACUGUGCUGCUUCUGGAUGCAUUUGUAAGUAAUCAGUCCACCACUCUUCACUUUGACUAACCAUCUGAGUCACAGGGUCUAGUAUUAAUCCGGCACAACUGAUAGACAACUUCUUCCAAAUUUUCCAUUGCUCUUUUGUGUUAUUCCAGUGGUUUUUAAAUUGUUUCUUGUCGUAAACCAAACCAGUAUUCAUAUAAAACCUAUCCAUCACGCAUUUCCAUCCUGCUUUGUUUAGGCAAGUUCCAGGUCUGUUCCCGGCAGCAACUUGGUCAAGGCAGAGACAGACGAAAAGCUUGUGAAGUUCUGGUGUCCAAUUUGCUUUCAGUUUUCGAUUUGAGAUGCAGCUUUUUAUUUCUCUUCGUGAUUUG